CCUUGUCUGAAACCUUCGACAAUUUUCCAAUUUGAGAAAAUAAUCUUUGUCGGCCGAUCGACGAAGCUGUAUCGAAAUCCAUCCGAAAUCCACUUCCAUCGUCUUCGCUUAUACAUCAAUUCUUUGCAAAUUAUAAGAUCUUAAAAGAGAUUAGUAGCCAUAUUUCGAUGGUUUCUCAAAAGAAGAAGAAUAACGAAGAUAAGUUUUUUUUAUCCAGAUUAUUAUAUAACUUGAGCACUUUAUUGCAAAAUGCUCCUGCUUCAUUAUUCUUUAGCAAAAAAAGAUAAUUAAACAUUUUAUUUACAAAUAAUCAUUAGAAGAGUAAAUCUAUACUAUUGAUAAAUCGUAAAUUACAGAUGUAUCAGCAAGAAUCAUCUCGACAGUCUCCCCGGAGUAUUGGGUGUAUUGAGUCCAUGAAUGGACGAUUUUCACUUGGAUCUUCCAUUGAGUCUUGAAUGGUUUGACUGCAUUAAGUUCUGUGAUGGGAAGAGCCAUUGUUUGAGAGAUCUACUAAAUGCGAGAGAAAUAUAAAGGCCCAACAUCGACUAAGCCCAGUAAGCUCAUUAUGCACUUCUGGAUAGAGAUCCGACUGCUGGCUCCAAGAUCCGCUGGUAAUGGAUCCAAGAUCCGCGUGUAAUUGGCCUUAAAAUUGUCCAUUAUACCCUCUGACGAUUUCUGUUUUUUAGUCGUUGGUUUUAAAUUUUCCAAUGGCAUUCUAUUGUAAUUUUUUACACUUUAUAGGGUUAGUUUAGUUAGAAUGAUUCCCUUUUAAUAGUAUAGAUAUUUGGGCAUUUUUGUUAACAUUAUUUGAAUUAGCAAUAUCAACUUAAUACAUGUACAAUUUAUUCUUACCAGAAAAAGAACAAAAUUUAAUAAAAAUCAGAAAAGAAAGUUUUAGGGUGUGAUAA
This is a long non-coding RNA of Arabidopsis lyrata subsp. lyrata, 908 nucleotides long. RefSeq lists it as uncharacterized. NCBI's taxonomy places the organism in Eukaryota, Viridiplantae, Streptophyta, Magnoliopsida, Brassicales, Brassicaceae. The record is from RefSeq and is a predicted model, not a curated record. The transcript is spliced from 3 exons.